Molecule: ribosomal RNA, 301 nt
Filed under: uncultured bacterium
Lineage: Bacteria
Description: partial 16S ribosomal RNA
Rfam family: Bacterial small subunit ribosomal RNA
Source: RNAcentral
CAGCCGCCGCGGGAAAACGAAGGGGGCUAGCGUUGCUCGGAAUGACUGGGCGUAAAGGGCGCGUAGGCGGUUUCUUAAGUCUGAUGUGAAAGCCCCCGGCUCAACCGGGGAGGGUCAUUGGAAACUGGGAAACUUGAGUGCAGAGGAGGAGAGUGGAAUUCCACGUGUAGCGGUGAAAUGCGUAGAGAUGUGGAGGAACACCAGUGGCGAAGGCGACUCUCUGGUCUGUAACUGACGCUGAGGAGCGAAAGCGUGGGGAGCAAACAGGAUUAGAUACCCGCGUAGUCCCUGUCUCUUAUAC